This 253-nucleotide ribosomal RNA is filed under the name uncultured bacterium. RNAcentral describes it as "partial 16S ribosomal RNA". It matches the Rfam family "Bacterial small subunit ribosomal RNA", at positions 524 to 776 of the family's 1533-position model. The record is from RNAcentral.
UACGUAGGGUGCAAGCGUUAAUCGGAAUUACUGGGCGUAAAGCGUGCGCAGGCGGUGAUGUAAGACAGGUGUGAAAUCCCCGGGCUUAACCUGGGAACUGCAUUUGUGACUGCAUCGCUGUAGUGCGGCAGAGGGGGAUGGAAUUCCGCGUGUAGCAGUGAAAUGCGUAGAUAUGCGGAGGAACACCGAUGGCGAAGGCAGCCUCCUGGGCCAGCACUGACGCUCAUGCACGAAAGCGUGGGGAGCAAACAGG